UAGGGAAUCUUCCGCAAUGGACGAAAGUCUGACGGAGCAACGCCGCGUGAACGAUGAAGGCCUUCGGGUCGUAAAGUUCUGUUGUUAGGGAAGAACAAGUACCAGAGUAACUGCUGGUACCUUGACGGUACCUAACCAGAAAGCCACGGCUAACUACGUGCCAGCAGCCGCGGUAAUACGUAGGUGGCAAGCGUUGUCCGGAAUUAGUGGGCGUAAAGCGCGCGCAGGCGGGUUCUUAAGUCUGAUGUGAAAGCCCACGGCUCAACCGUGGAGGGGCAUUGGAAACUGGGAAACUUGAGUGCAGAAGAGGAGAGUGGAAUUCCACGUGUAGCGGUGAAAUGCGUAGAGAUGUGGAGGAACACCAGUGGCGAAGGCGACUCUCUGGUCUGUAACUGACGCUGAGGCGCGAAAGCGUGGGGAGCGAACA
This 427-nucleotide ribosomal RNA is filed under the name uncultured prokaryote. Its description in RNAcentral is "bacterial SSU rRNA". It matches the Rfam family "Bacterial small subunit ribosomal RNA", at positions 355 to 774 of the family's 1533-position model. The record is from RNAcentral.